GGGGAUAUAGCUCAGUUGGUAGAGUGCUUGCCUAGCAUGCACAAGGUCCUGGGCUCAAUCCCCAGCACCACCA
Molecule: transfer RNA, 73 nt
Filed under: Ictidomys tridecemlineatus (thirteen-lined ground squirrel)
Lineage: Eukaryota; Metazoa; Chordata; Mammalia; Rodentia; Sciuridae
Description: Spermophilus tridecemlineatus (thirteen-lined ground squirrel) tRNA
Rfam family: tRNA
About the family: Transfer RNA (tRNA) molecules are approximately 80 nucleotides in length. Their secondary structure includes four short double-helical elements and three loops (D, anti-codon, and T loops).
Source: Rfam by way of RNAcentral